UACGUAGGGGGCAAGCGUUGUCCGGAGUUACUGGGCGUAAAGCGCACGCAGGCGGUCGCGUAAGAGUGCGGGGACAGUGGGCGGCUUAACUGCCCAAGGGUCGCACAGACUGCGUGACUGGAGGGCCAGAGAGGGACCUGAAAUUCCGGGUGGAGCGGUGAAAUGCGUAGAGAUCCGGAGGAACACCAAUGGCGAAGGCAGGGUCCUGGCUGGCACCUGACGCUCAUGUGCGAAAGCCAGGGGAGCGAACGGG
This 253-nucleotide ribosomal RNA is filed under the name uncultured bacterium. RNAcentral's name for it is "partial 16S ribosomal RNA". It matches the Rfam family "Bacterial small subunit ribosomal RNA", at positions 524 to 776 of the family's 1533-position model. The record is from RNAcentral.